Molecule: transfer RNA, 68 nt
Filed under: mouse gut metagenome
Also listed under: 1 other name
Rfam family: tRNA
About the family: Transfer RNA (tRNA) molecules are approximately 80 nucleotides in length. Their secondary structure includes four short double-helical elements and three loops (D, anti-codon, and T loops). Further hydrogen bonds mediate the characteristic L-shaped molecular structure. tRNAs have two regions of fundamental functional importance: the anti-codon, which is responsible for specific mRNA codon recognition, and the 3' end, to which the tRNAs corresponding amino acid is attached (by aminoacyl-tRNA synthetases). tRNAs cope with the degeneracy of the genetic code in two manners: having more than one tRNA (with a specific anti-codon) for a particular amino acid; and 'wobble' base-pairing, i.e. permitting non-standard base-pairing at the 3rd anti-codon position.
Source: RNAcentral
CCUGUAGCUCAGUUGGUAGAGCAGAGGACUGAAAAUCCUCGUGUCGUUGGUUCGAUUCCGACCGGGGC